Molecule: transfer-messenger RNA, 401 nt
Filed under: human gut metagenome
Rfam family: transfer-messenger RNA
About the family: Bacterial tmRNA, also known as 10Sa RNA or SsrA, is named for its dual tRNA and mRNA-like properties. Its role is to liberate the mRNA from a stalled ribosome.
Source: RNAcentral
GGGGCUGAUUGGCUUUGACAGCGUGUAGAGACGGAAAGUAAGCAUGCAGAGCUUUGAUGUGCAAGCUCUAUAAUAACAACGCAUCGACCUAUAAUUGGCGAAAAUAACAACUACGCUCUCGCUGCGUAAACCGAAGUACAGUAGGUUCGCUUAAUUCCCGUCAAAGUGGCGGGAACGAGACAUCUCCCCAUUGCCUGGUUCCGAGACGUUUGGACAAGGAGGUGCAGAGAAAUUCGGAAAUAGGGUUAGCCGGGCCUGACGGUUUGCCCGAAACUCAAGGAUAAGGACAUGAUUGGUCGUCUUGAGCCUGUCAUGUCACGAAAACCAACUCAAUGACUAAGCAUGUAGAAAGCUUUCUGGGUCCGCGUUUGGACGAGGGUUCAAUCCCCUCCAGCUCCACU